AGCCUGGAGAACAAGAGUGAGACUCCAUCUCAAAAAAAAAGAAAAAAAAUAGGCAGAAUUAAAAGUGAAUUGUGUGCAAUUUAAGUGCUAAGAAGUAGCAUCAACUGGAUGUCAUCCCUUUCAUAUUUUCAUGAGUAACCUCAUCCCAAAAAAGAUUUCAGUCCAGGCUUCGUUAAUAUAAUCAUUGCUUAAAAAAUUCUUUGGGCUCAAACUGGAGAAGGAGAGAUUUUUUUCCUGUUGAAUUCAGAUGAAACUAGCAUCUUGGAAUGCUUGCUCUGGCAGGUACUGAGCCAGGUCCAUUCACAUUAUCACUACCUCAUGCAGUUUGCACAGCAAUUUGCAGGGAGGGUGGUGUUAUUCUCAUUUUUACACAUUUGAACAUUGAUGCUCAGAGCAGUUAAGUGACAAGCAGCAGUAAGUGUGGCAUAUUAAUGGGAAAAAGUUUCCGAGAUUGAAUUCAAAUGCCACUACCAUCCACUAGCUCACAAAAGAAGAGCUUCCUGCAGAAUGGCAGUAACAAUUGUUGAUCAUUCCUUCACACCUGACCCCUCGCCUUUAAGAACUUGUCUAUUUAUAAGUAAUUUAAGAAGCUAUGUUUCUCUCCAUCUGUUUAGGUAGAGAAGAGCAUAUAGAGGGAAUUGUGAGUAAGCCAGAUUAAUGCACCAGAAAAAGUAGAAACUGCACCAGAAAAAGUAGAAACUGCACCAGAAAAAGUAGAAACUGUACCAAGAACAGGAAGGACGGAUUGGCACCAGUGAAUUCAAACAAUAACCAGUGCCAGCUGGAGCCCCAUCAUGGUGAGGCUCUACAAUGAGUUCAUGGAGAAGACUGUGGAUGGGUCAUGGACAAGACUUCCAGGUUGUUGGUGCUCUGUGCAAUUCCUUAAAGAAGCAGACCUUACUAAGAUUGCUAAAGCUGUCCCUGCCAUCUUCUUACAAAUGAAGUGACGCAGAUGCAAGGUGCUGCAAGGCCCACCUCCUCCUGCUCUGACAGGCAGACAGGAAACCAAAG
RNAcentral lists this long non-coding RNA (1011 nucleotides) under Homo sapiens (human). Its description in RNAcentral is "HSALNT0311312". Lineage: Eukaryota; Metazoa; Chordata; Mammalia; Primates; Hominidae. The record is from RNAcentral.